Rattus norvegicus (Norway rat) is the source of this 14542-nucleotide non-coding RNA. The record is from RefSeq and is a predicted model, not a curated record. Lineage: Eukaryota; Metazoa; Chordata; Mammalia; Rodentia; Muridae.
AUAUAGGACAACAUUUAAUUGGGGCUGGCUUAUAGGUUCAGAGGUUCAGUUCAUCAUCAUCAAGGCAGAAACAUGGCAGCAUCCAGGCAGGCAUGGUACAGGAGGAACUGAAAAUUCUACACCUUCAUCUGAAGGCUGCUAGCAGAAUACUGGCUUCCAGGCAGCUAGGACUAGGGUAUUAAAGCCCACACCCACAGUAACACACCUACUCCAAGAAGGCCACACCUGCAAAUAAUGCUACUCCCUGGGCCAAGCAUUUUAUACUUUCCUGGUCCCUGGAGUUACCUGAGGCUGUGUAUUCAAAUCUCAAGAUCCGCGGUGGCCCAGUCUCACCAAAAUAAAGAACGACACAGCACAAACCUCUCACACACUGUGGCAGUUGUUUCCUGCUUCGUAAAUGGGAUUCCAGAACUUUCCAAUGCCUGUUACACUUUGGAAAUGGGUAGCCUGCUAUGGCCGGACAAGAAGAUCAAGAUGUGAGCUCUCAACCCUUCCUGCCGCCAUAACUUUGCUUCACCAUCGUGGACUCUAACCCUCUGAUACAAAUGUUUUAUCCUGGAAAUGUCAACUCACACAGCCACAUGCUUCUCUCACCUGAGAUUCCCCUGCCUAAGCUCGACCCUGGAGCUGGACUCAACCUGUGGGAUUUUAAAGAGAGGAAAAGCCCAGGUGGGAGUUGCAUGACUGGAGCCCGGGAUGUCUAGCCACUAGAAAUGAAGGGAAACCCAGGAUGGGAAUCAUAAUAAGCCACAGAUGUGACAUCAAGCCUGCUGGAUGAUUCAUCAGCUUCCACAGCUGGCUUCUCAGUCUGCAGGCGCUCCGGGUCACUUCCAUGUGCUGAAGGAGGACGCAUCCUUCCUACUCUUUCUCUCUGAGCUUUGGAAAUCUGCCAGAAAGGCCUGAUGGCAGCCUUAGGAGCUGUAUGGGCAGCACCAGAGGAGUCCUUAGCCAAAAGCUCCAAGCUCUUCUGGGGAUCAAUGAGCCUCAUCUGUUGGGCCUUACUCAAAGGUAGCCUUUCCACCAAGAUAAUUGGUUUAGCACAAAGGAGCCAUUGUGGUCUAGACCUCACAGUUGAUUGCUGGGUUAAGAUAAGUGUGGCUCUCUCCUUCUUUCCCCCUGGAGGCCUCAGGGAGUCAAGUACUUUUGACCAUGUGAAACAGAUAUCCUCCUUCCCAUUGAGAAUGAUGUGGGUGCAGGGGAGGAAGGGAGAUGUGAGCAUCCACUGUUCCACGGUUAGCAUGUGUUUUUACCCCUCAUCUUCACACAAGCUGCAGACAUCUCCUCUCACCAGAGAGUUGAGGACAAUGUAGUGAUCAAAGGCCCUCCAGAUAAGUGGAAACUCUGCCCCUCAAAUAAUUUGAUGACCCAAACUAGCCCAAUUAACAGCAUUCCUCUUCAAAGCAUUUUCUCCUCUCAUGUUCUUAUGUAUCUAUAUAUGUAUUUUUCGAUUCAAAUUAAUUACAGAAGGUACAGAAAAUAAAUACCAUACAAAUAGGAAACUUGAAAUCAGAGACAAUUGCCAUUAGUAAUUUUAUACAUCUUUAAAGCUUUUAUUAUUUUUUAGCUUAUUAUAUUUAUUAUUCUUAAUAAUAAAUUUUUUUUCUUCCACCAAACCUUCCCAAGCCUUUUCCUACUCCUUCUCAAAUUCAUAGCAGCCUUUUCUUAUACAUGGCCUUGGCUUAACAACAACACAUCAUGUCUGACUUUCCACACAAAAGGUUACACAUUUUCUUUGGCUGCAGCCCUACAAACUGCAAAACCUAGGUACCAUCCUAUAUCAUCAGGCUCCUUGUUACAUUCAGCCACAUCUCAACAACUGUCGUUCAUGCAGCAGUAAGCCAAAUUCUCUCCUCAAGAUAAAUUGCCAAAGCUCAAAAUAAACACUAAUUUAAGGCUUUGGAAAUACCUUUCCAGAGAAAGAUGGUAUUCACUAAUAGUUUCACUAGCGCUGAAAAGGGGCAUAAAGACCUUUCAAAAGAACAGAGCAAACUGAAGAGUCCCCACAUAGCACUAACAGAGCCAGCAAGCCGGGUUUCUCUGUCUCGUCAUAACCUGACUCUCAAUAUACUGACGUCAGGACUUAAUCAUUCACACCAGAAGAUGUAAACGAUUCUCCCUCUGGUGUCCUCAUCUCAAAGUUGUGAGGCGAGACAGUCGUAGAGACAGUUGAUAUCCUAGAGCAGUGGCCAGCUCACAAUGAUCUGAACAACAUUGCUACUGUGUAGAACAUAGGAUGAAAGCACAGACAAGAUUUUCAUGGUAUAAAAGCCCACACGUCUAAGGUACAGACUUACAUGCGAAUCUAACACAAUUCAUUGCUUAAAUGGCAGCUCUUGUCUGGUUGCUUUAUAAAUCUCAAACUUCUCUGAUCCCAUAGAAAUCCUAUAACAAGAAAGAUGAUGUUUUGAUCCUAGUAUUUUUUUCCAGACCAGGCUAAGUACUUUGUUAGAGUUAGACUCCCUGUGUCUAACCACAAAGCUGCUUUGCCCACUAGAUGUCCCCCAUCCCACUAAAAUUAUUCUCAACAGUGUCCGCAUCCAGGGACACUGAAAGGUCCAUUCUCCAGUAAGCAGGAAACACACUAUCCCACUGGGAGAGCCACAGAAAGAAACAUGAAGAAAACAACAUUGCCCACAAAAAUGAAAAAGAAAAAGAAAACCACUUCAUACCCAAAAUAACUAAAAUGACUUUAGAUAGUAAUGUACUCCCCGCAUCCAGUUUACUCUUGGUCUCACUCGUCAUUCAUCAACUUCGGUUACCCCAUUUCCUGCAGAGACCUAUCUGCUCCUUCAAUAACUAGAGCUGGGAAAUUGAAGUUCUUUGACAGUUUGACAUAUGUCAUAGCUUUCAGUCUGUAAAACAACCAGUUUGAAGGUUCUGGGGUUCAAUAAGUCAGAGCCAGAAUCUGAGCACGAUGGUUUGCCUGACGUCUCCUCUCUAUUUUCAACUCCAUGCUUUUGUGAGCUUCCAACUGGCAUGGAAAUCAUGCAUAAAUUUACAGAAGAUAAGCAGACACGUUGAAAGACAUAAGUAUGUAGGGGCAUUGGUUAGGCAGAUCUGAUGGAUAGUCGACUCACAUAUAAUGUUACAUGCAUUUGAAAUUCAGCCGCCUGAUAAACUUUCCCCCACAAUUCAAGACCUUGCUUUAUUUCUAAACUUUAGACAACUUCUUAUUCCAUGAGCAAUAGAAUUUGUUCUUAAAUCUCACCACAACUUGCCUUCUUGUCUCUCUGCACUUGAUGGAAAAAUCAAACCCAUUGUUGCAUUGUUUAUUGAUAUGCCCACUCACACAAGUGAGCCUGUGCAGGCCUCUUCUGCUCUGCUGCGAAAACAGCCUGAGGCUGACUCUCUCAUCCUAAAAACAUACACAUGUGUGUGCACGCACACACAUACCCUGACUCCCCCCCACCUCCCCACACCUUACACCUACGUACACAAACCAUUUGCAAUCCUACAUUCCUCUGGACCUCAGAUGACAAGCUAUCACCACUCCUUACAGUCUUUCAACUUUAAAAUCUCUGCCCUGUGCCAUUGUAUUUUUAAUGGUCUGAGUGUUGAGUCCUGAAAAAUUCAGAUGUCACAAUCCUAAUCACCAAUGUGAAAUUCAAAGACAGGGCCCUUUAACGUGUAGCUAGGUCAAGAGGUGGAGGCCUCACAAAUGAGGAGUCCAUCCUUUUUAUAAGACAGGCUGAGGCCACCUGUAGCUCCUUCCCCCAUAUGAGGAUUAGAGAAGACUGUCUACGAGGGUGUAGCCCUCAGAGAUAGCAAUGGUCAGCUCCUUGAUGGUAGACUUUCCAGGCCCCAGAGCCAUGUGGAGCUUGUUUCUGCAUCUGUUUCUCAGUCAAUGGUAUUUUGCUAUAACAGUGCAGUCUUAAUGCAUUUUCCAGAGCCUCACACACUAACCCAGCUUCAAUAAAUCUUAGCAUUUACCUCUUUAUCAAGGUAAUAAACUAUUAUAAAUAUAGCAGAAACUUUCAUAUACCACCUCUUAACCCCUUCUAUCUCCCCCCACAAAUGUUUAUGUCACACAUGACUUACACCUUUUAUUAAGUGCACACAUUUUAAUGAGUGAUAUUUAAUCUUCCAGUACUCUUAUUAAACAUCCUUUUUCAAUAGCACCAUUGUUAAAACUUUCAACAUUGCUUCCGAGAUUUACUUUCAUGAGAUAUGUAAGAUUAGAUGGCCACACUUGGAUGGGAUGUCCCUGUGUGUUCAUGUCACAUUGUGUCCAUGCAGCUGCUGAAAUCAUUUCCAUUUAAUCUCUGUCUUCAUUCCUUUCUAAGUUUUCAUCAUCCCCAGCCUGAGUCAUCACGGAAGCCUGUUGUAUGUUCUUUAAGAUGGCAUACAAAGCCCUCUGGACUUGGCUUGUCUCACCUUUGCACUGUCCUACCCUUUGAUUGGCUCUAUAUAAAUGCCUUUGUUGCCAGCGCGCUUAAUUCUCACUGUCCCUUCCACCUGUCAGGUUUCAUCCUGUCUGAUACUCCCCCAGAUCCGUGUAUGACUGACCACCCAACUUUUCACUUUCCAGGAUCAACUGUCUUCCUCUGAUAGACCUACCCUGUGUGUUCUCUCUAUAGGACUCCAGAGUCCUCGCCUUGUCCCUGUUUCUGUCCUCGGCACUCUCACAACUGUCACGCAUCCAUACAUCUUGUUCAUUUGCAUACAGUUUACUGUCUAACUUCCCACCAAAAUGUACAUUGUAUGAGAGCGAGUCCUGCUUAUCUACCGCCUUAGCGUCUUUGACAGUUUCUGAUCCUGAUUGGUUGGUUUGUAAUUAGAAGGAAGGACAAGAAAUGGACAAAGGCUAGAGCAAUUGAAUAAACAAAGGAAUGAGAGUUCAACCCAGAGGCAUGAGUUCUUUUGGGGACUUAGCUUCUGGCCUUUCUUAGCUUGACCGAUGCCAUAAAACAGCACUGACUGGGUAGUUCAAGCAGGAGGAGUUCAUUAGCACAAGUUCUGGAGGUUUAAAGUCCUAUUUCAAGGUACCAGCAUGACCAAUUUCUGACGAAGCUUCUCUUCGUGGCUUCAUCUCAGUAUUCUCAAUGCCAGGAGUUAAUUGGUUUGUAUAAAAGGCCCUAUUCUCAUUACCUUAUCCAAUUCUAAUUACCUUUGAAGUGCCCGUCUAUAAAUUCCACCAACUGAGGGUUAGGGCUUUAAUGCAUAGGUCAGAGGAGUAUAGUUCAGUUCUCCCUCUCUCUUCCCUCUGUGGGCCCAAGAAUGAUCAUUUUUAUAAGUAGUUUUCAGUAAAGUGCUCACAUCUCCUUUGCUCCUCCCUGCUGUCCUGUGUACUUGUAAUAUUUUCCAGUGCCUACUUGGCUGCCACCCACAUUCAAUAUUGUGAAGUCCGUGAGGAUUUGCCAACCCUUCAUCAUGUUACGUCUGGUACAAUGACUGGCAGGUAGAAAGGAUAUAAGUAUGCACUGAUUGAAUAAAAAAUUCUUGAGAAAAUCCUACCACCUAAGAAGGCACUAAAAUAUGACUAAGGUCACUAAUAUUUAUAUUCUGAGGCACAUAAGAACUACUCAGAGCAGUAGUCCCAAUAAAAAUGUCUGCUUGUCAUUCAUUAUCAUGGCAUUAAGGCUCCAUAUGAGUUCUAAGACAGUCUAUAUGGAUUGCUUAUAUUAUUAAAUUAAAUUAUAGUAUUAAAUCACCAUAGACUGAGCCACCUACAUAAUAGAAUUUUAUUAUCCCACAUGUCUAGGGAACACUGUGAGGUAAGUUGGCAGGGUCGGGGCCUCCUGAGGGCCCUGAGGUGCCUCGUGACCUUAUACAUGGUCAUCUAUUGCUUUGUCAUCCUUCAUUGCCCACCCUAUAACCAUCCGUGUCAGCUUUCUAUAAGACAGAAGUGUACUGGGUCAUCUAUCAUCAUCUAUGUCCAAUGUCUGUCUAUAAGACAGUAGUUGUACUGACUUGAGACCACCAUGGUGAGCUCAUGGUCACUAAUUACCACUCUAAAGAUUCUGUAUCUGAAUGUAGUCUCAGAUGAGUGUCCCAUUAAUUAAGACUUUUAAUGUAGAGAAUUAGAUGGAGAUAGUAUUGGGCCUCUAGCACAAUUUUGCCAUGAAAAUGAGAAAAACAAGAGGCAAGGGGUACAAGCCAUCAGACAAAAGCAAGGAGAAAAGAGACACCCAAAAACCCCGAAGAGAAGGAGAGAGCAUACCUGCAGGAGUUAAAUACAGAAGGGGGGGGGAAGUAUGCACAGGAGAGAAAAAAAAAACAACAAAGUAGAAGACAGAGACUAAACAAAGACAGAACCAACUCGUGUUAAUGAACAGGGGCUUGGGCAAAAUGCUUGGGUAUAUUUAGAACAGCCAAUUUAAAGGAGCAGGAAAGGCUAUAAUACGUUUUAUAAAGCAGUCCUUCAAUUGUGGCCAUGUGGUUUCAAAGAUUGCUUCUUAGAAGGUAAGCCUCUAGGCACAUGAAAAUCGUUAGCUGCUUAAAAAGAGUUGGCUUCCACUGAUCCGAUGGCUUCCGGUGGCUUGCAUUGCAGAGUAAGCCACCUCCCAUCACAGAGCAGAAAAGGAGGACAAUAUACCGGGAGUUAAAAAUUAAUUAAAGGGCUGGAGAGAUGGCUCGGCGGUUAAGAGCACUGCCUGCUCUUUCAGAGGUCCUGAGUUCAAUUCCCAGCAACCACAUGGUGGCUCACAACAACCUAUAAUCAGGUCUGGUGCCCUCUUCUGGCCUGUAGUUGCAUACAUGCAGGCAGAAAGCUGUAUGAUGUAUACAUAAUAAAUAAAUAAAUAAAUAAAUAAAUAAAUAAAUAAAUAAAUAAAUAAAUAAAUAUUUUUAAAAAAUUAAUUAAAUAGCAGGAAUUCCUUUACGUCUUGAUUCUUUCCUCUCACAUUCCUCUUGGCCUCCUUCAUUCUAGGGUACCCACUUGACUCUCUAGGAGGAGUGAAUCAUGGGUAAGGAACCACAUGGGAAGGGGCUGCAGGGGUAGAGUAAGAGAGGAGAGACUGACUUAGGAGGUGAGUCACACUUCAGAGAUUGUUGCCAUUAAUAGCGUUACUUGGCAAGAGCUUCCUGAAUCAUCUCACUUCCUGAACAGGGUGGAUGUCUGUUGAGAUUUAAAUUGAGUUCAUAGAUUUCAAAAUGAUGGAAAAGCAUGUAGCUCACUAAAGCUGCAAGGUUUAUGUUAAGUGUUUAUAUAGUGACAGAGUAGCACCAGAAAGGUGUAUGAGCUGCUCUUGGCAGUCACCUGCUUUCAUAUUACAAGGGUUUGCUUCUUUUGCCUACUUCUGGUUAAUAAUGAUAAUAAUAAUAAUAAUAAUAAUAAUAAUAAACAAUGUUAGUUUUAGAUUUAAGAUGACAUUUUAAAUUCAGUCUAGGUAUCUAAAUUCAUGUCUUUUUAACUCUGAUUUCCCCCAGUUUGCUACUCACCGGCUCCCUUUGUAGUGUGUAUCAUUUCCUUAUAAGAAAUUAGACAUGUUUGAGUUUCUGUUAAUGACAUGGAUAAGGUAAAGCAUGUGUUCUGGGAAAGGAGUCACCUCCCAAAAUACAGAGAAGGAUUGAAUGGCAGAGAGCCACAUAAGCUUAAUCAAAACGAAUUGGAAUGCUGGUUUAAUGUCGAAGGGCCCCAGAUGUUCGUUAACUUCCCUGGAAGAGCCCUUUUCACCAUGAGUCCAUCCUAAAGGCAAACUUGGCCCUUUGCUACAUCUCUAAAACAACUCCAACAUCCUAUGUGUUUUGUAAGUCACACCAAGAAUGCCUAAAGAGAGGGGUGGGGGGUCAGGCGGAUGAGGGCGAGGCAGAUAAAUUACAUCACACAUUGCCCACACGAAUCUAGGAAAAAUUAAGCUUCCUGCUCACCCCCAAACCCCUUUCUCUCUUCUGCCCAUCAAAAAAGAAAAUAUUUUCCGCUGUUAUUAAAUUCAAAUCCAGUCUUUAACUGGAGCUCUUUAGCUACCGGAAGGAAAGCCAAGCAGAUGGCCAACAGUGUCUUUCACAAAUAGCACUCAUCAAAACUGCAACAAAAAUAAGUAAUUAAUGAUGAUUUUUCGUCAAUCAAGUCUAUCCCUGAAGUAUACAUAAAAACGAAUGGGGAAGGCAAUAAAAUAAAAUUUAAAAUAGGUGCUAUAAAAAUACAUGUGUGAGUGUGGUGCAUGAGUGUGUGUGUGUGUGUGUGUGUGUGUGUGUUUGUGUCUGUGUGUCUGUGUCUAUGUCUGUGUCUGUGUCUGUGUGUGUGUCUGUGUGUGUGUGUGUCUGUGUGUCUGUGUAUGUGUGUGUGUGUCUGUGUGUGUGUCUGUGUCUAUGUCUGUGUAUGUGUGUGUGUCUGUGUGUGUGUGUGUCUGUGUGUCUGUGUAUGUGUGUGUGUGUCUGUGUGUGUGUCUGUGUCUAUGUCUGUGUAUGUGUGUGUGUCUGUGUUUGUGUGUAUGUGUCUGUGUCUGUGUCUGUGUGUGUGUCUGUGUCUGUGUGUGUGUGUGUCUGUGUGUCUGUGUGUCUGUGUCUGUGUGUCUGUGUCUAUGUGUGUGUGUCUGUGUGUGUGUCUGUGUCUAUGUCUGUGUAUGUGUGUGUGUCUGUGUGUGUGUGUCUGUGUGUGUGUGUGUCUGUGUGUGUGUCUGUGUCUGUGUGUGUCUGUGUGUGUGUGUGUGUGUGUGUGUCUGUGUCUGUAUGUAGUGGUAGUGGCAGUGAAGUCCUGUAGUUAAGAGAAGAUUACUUUCACCAAGUGGGUACAUACAGACGCUCAUAUACCCAUAGACACACGUGGACAAGCACCAGUUUAAAGACAGACAAGGACUCUUUCAGCUUUGACCUUAGCCUCCCCUUGCCCCAAACUUUGGAACUGACAACUUUGGAGCUCCAGGUGACAAGAUGGGGCUUUCUAACUUAAGCUGCCUUUGUGUGGAAAUCUUGUCCUGUAUAGAGUCUCAAAACUCAGGAUUUUUGUAAAGAGAGAAAAUCCACAUUCCUGUCAUAUGAGACAAUGUACACAUUAACUUUCCUGACUAUGUAACUGUUUCCCUGUACAUCAAAAUAUUCCACAUAACCUAAAGAUACACAAUGCAGUAUAGUUAGUGUUUUAAAAAGUACAUUGCAGUAGUGUUUCUUAGAACACAUGGAGCCUUUCAAAACAAUUAUUUUUUUAAGAAAUCAAAAAAAUCCUAUACUGUUACAUACUAUACCCAUAUCUAUACUGCUGUAUACCCAUAUCCUAUACUGCUGUAUACCCAUAUCUAUACUACUAUAUACCCAUAUCAUACACUGCUCUAUACUCAUAUCUGUACUGCUUUAUACCUAUAUCAUACACUGCUCUAUACUCAUAUCUGUACUGCUUUAUACCCAUAUCAUACACUGCUCUAUACUCAUAUCUGUACUGCUUUAUACCUAUAUCAUACACUGCUCUAUACUCAUAUCCUAUACUGCUAUGUUCCUAUAAUCAUACACUGCUAGAUAUGCAUAUCCUAUACUGCUGGAUACUCAUAUCCUACACUGCUCUAUACUCAUAUCUGUACUGCUGUAUACCCAUAUCCUACACUGCUGUAUACCCAUAUCCUACACUGCUGUAUACCCAUAUCCUACACUGCUGUAUACCCACAUCCUACACUGAUGUAUACCCAUAUCCUACACUGCUGUAUACCCAUAUCCUACACUGCUGUAUACCCAUAUCCUACACUGCUGUGCACUCAUAUCCUACACUGCUGUAUACCCAUAUCCUACACUGAUGUAUAUUCAUAUCCCACACUGUUGUAUACCACACUGUUAUAUAUCUCAUCUGGCUGAUCAAAAUGACCUGUAGUUAGAAGUACCGAGACAGCUUCCUCUCAUCUGCAACCAUUCUAGGCCAAGCAGCAUCUAAAGCUACGUAGAACCAAAGGGUAAAAAGAUUUACCUUGACAACUGUCACAUAUCCAAAUUCGAGCUUUUUUCCAACCAUUUAUGCCAUCACUCGACAACCGGCUAGUAAUUGUCCACUUACCGUUUCCAAGCAUGUGGGCCGUGGCUCGUAAAGUCAGGGUGGCCACGGAGGAAAACCUAGCCUGCAGUUUCCAUCAAAUCCGUCUGAACUGCAGACAGGGCUUGAGUCAUCCUGACUCUGCUUGGUUAUUGAAGUUAUAUGGAAACUUUCUUCCAUGCCUUGGCCCUGCUGCUGGCUCUGACAACUGCUUCCAGUCUUCGGGUGCUCUGUGCUGCUCUCCCUAACUGGUCCCCGAAACACGACAUGGCUUUAUUCUUCUGUCCUCUCUCACACUAUUUCUGUGUUUCAGGAUAUAUGCUGACAGGUUACCUCUGCUCCUCCUGCUUCAGAAUACAGACACACUUUAGAUUUCUACACUUGACUUCUUAUUAGCCAUCACUUCUCAAAACCAAUUCGGCUAUGCAGUGUGGAUUGGCUGCUUGGUUGCGCUGGACGUCCUUGAUAAAAACAACUAUCAAGUGGUAGCGUCUCUCAUCACAGACUCAUCUGUGACUCUUAGGUAGCUGGCAUCCAUUCUGAUGAGGGGUGUGGAGAUAAGAACUGGAAAACUAGUUUCUUAAGGAAAUAUGCAUUUCUAGGGGUUGGGGAUUUGGCUCAGUGGUAGAGCGCUUGCCUAGGAAGCGCAAGGUCCUGGGUUCGAUCCCCAGCCCCGGAAAAAAAAAGAAAAAAAAAAAAGAAAUAUGCAUUUCUAGAAGACCAGGAAGAACUAAAAUUAAUGUAGGAAACCUUAUAUGGGAACAGUUGAGAGCUCCCAGGAAAAAGCUUUCAGGGCAAUGGAAUCAAGUUGCUCUGAGGACAUCCAUGCCCUCAGUGCAGGAGGCUGCACACUGAGGCACGGUCCUCUGUUUUCUGAACCUCAUUUAGUUCAACUGUACUAUCUCUCAGUGUUGUGUAAAUGCUAGACACAAAAGCUCUGUGAGUGCGUAUAACAACAAGGCAUCCGCACAGGGCCAUGGAGUGAUCAGUAGUACCGUGUCAUUUCCACGGCUUGAUAUGUACAAUAGGCCCAUCAGGUGUGAACAUUGGGGAAGAUGGCCAAAGAACGACUCCAGCCCUUUGAGCUUAUUUUUUAACUUCUUGUCAGUCUGUAAUAGUUUUCAUAAUACACUUUGAAAAUUCUGAAAGACAUUUUUAAAAAAAAAUCUUCCCAGAAGAAUUUCCCAUUACACUAACGAAAUAAUACUAAAAUUUGGCUUGCCCCAUUUCUAGUAUAUUUUAUGUCUAAAAGUACUAUGCCUUUCUACUUUAGUUUUUCCUCUCCCAGUACCUCCCAGGUUCCCUCCCCUAGUGCCCAGAAUACAAGCUACUCAACAAACACUGAAAGAAAUGAUAGAUUCAACAAAAUCGUAGCUAGGCUAGACAUGGGCUGGAGAAUUGAAUGAGGCAGAUGACCCCAGUCAGUGAGGCAGACAACCAAGUCUUCCAACGGAUUCCUCUCAUCGUAGCCAUCAACUGAAGACUUGAGUCUAAAUUGGUGCUCUUGAUGUAUGAAAGUUCAGUUUAAACUCUCAGCCUGAAGGCAGAACCUGAGGGAAGAGCUGGGGGAACCCUUGCAGAACAAACAUGUUUACGGAGCGGCGAUCCAGGUGAGGUGAAAGAUUUAUCCGAAUCAACUGCUGUGUCCAGUCUGUCUGAACCACAGUGCCCAACCCAGUGUAAAUUUGUGGUUUUGUUCAUAAUAUGUUCCAGUGAUGGGAUUAAUUAUGCCUCUGAAUGUGGAGGAUAAAAUUGUCCUUAGGAUUUAAGGAUAUACCAGUGACAAGGGAUUGUCAUCAAGAUUGACCAAAGGAAAAGUUCAGGGCCACCACAAGCAGUAAGGAUGGACUGACUCAUCCUACAGGAAGUAAGAGAGUCAAACUUCCAAAUCAAAGGCAGCAACCAACAGGCACCAUCAACACAUCUGCUGGCACUGUGCCUAACCCACGCUGAAGGGACACCCCUGAUUUCUUCUCUAAAAGCUUCUUACGCUAUCAAGAGUGUAUACAAUACCCGUGGAACCUGGCUUGUGUCUAGUAAUUCACUCCCUGUGAAGUAAAUACUAAGUAAUCACCUUUUGUGGAAAAGAGAAAACUCCACUGUACUAGGUAAGGAGUCUACAACGGGGAGACAGAAUUUAACCCCAAUCCACUGUCUGAAACUUAGGGAUGAACUCACAGCCUCCAGGGGAUCAAACAACCCUUUCACAGGGGGGCCGCCUAAGACCAUCAGAAAACACCAAUAUUUACAUUAUUAAUCAUAACAGUAGCAAAAUUACAGUUAUGCAGUAGGAAUGAAAAUAAUUCUAUGGUUGGUGGUUACUACGGCGUGAGGAGCUGUACUAAAGGGUCACAGCGUAAGGAAGACUGAGGACAACUGAUCUAGUCACUGCUGUCACUUGGCGCUCAAGUAAGGAUGCCGCGCUAGAGGAGUCUUUAGGAGAUUAUUAGCAACAAGUAGGGCAGGUACCGUGUUAAGGAGACAAAACAGAAGGAGUCGCUGCAGUGGUCUAUGGCAAAUUUUCUUAACUUUAAGAACAAUCAACUAAUUGUCCUGUAGUCCUUUGUCACUCCUAGAAAGCGCUGUCAUUGACAAGUCAGCAAUGUACUCAGUGGCCUCCCCAGACUUCUAAACCUGGGAACCUUAAUUUGCUCAUUAAGAAACAUGAAAACGACAGAAUAGAGCUGCUCCUUUAGCCCCACAUCCAGUGGGACAUACACUUUACUACUUGUUAUUCCAGCUACAUUCAUCCUGUGGGUUUGGGAUGAGUCUAAAUUGCCCCGAUUCCCUGUCAUUGAAGGGCUGAGGUUUGCUGCUGUCUGGAUGUUUAUCCAAAUCCCAGUCCCCUGACUGAGGGAGUGAUCAUGGUCCACCAGGGACACAGUGUAAAGAGGAAGUCAUUUCCUCCGAGAGCCUUGUUUGUGUUUUUGACAACUGUUUCAGUUUAUAAUCCAUUUCCAUUCCCAUAUCCUGCCCUCCAAAAGUAAACAGACGACAGCCGUGGUGAUGUGGGGGUGUGGGUGGAAGAGGAGGAAAGAGAUUUCCCCAGAGCAAGAGGAUGUUUUUAGCGAACCCAAUUUAAUUUGAAAUAAACUCAAAUCCCCAAGCCAGAUAGAGCAUAGGCAUUAAGAUCAGCCCAGUUCACAAGCAUAAACAUAGCCUCCAGAAACCCCAUCUAUGCGUACUGCAUGGUCACACACUACUGGAAAUUCUUAUAUCAGACUCCAAUAGCGCUGGUGGUCAAUAGUGAGCUUCUUUAUGUGAACAGGCACACGUCUUUACCCACCUUCCUCAUCUGUCUACCCAACCACACAGCAGGGAAGGAGCUCUUUCCCGGAUCAGAAACCAGUGACCAUUAUAUCUAAGUCUUUGCAGAAGCACAGACUCUUCUCUCAAAUUAUGACUCUGAAAACUGUCCCUGGAAGUUUUUUGGUUUUCAUUUCUGGGUUUUUCCCCCCCCAAGGAUACAAUUUCGCCAAGAGAAUACAUUUUUCAAAACUCUAAGUUUAGAAAAUAAGUCAACCUUUAGAGUUUCUCUUCUCUCCGACUCUUUUCCCAAGACCUUAGCUGACAUCCUCGCGUUAGAAAAGUCCCCUCUCUACAAUGAUAACUCAUUGUAAUUUCUUGUUUUUGAAUUUUGAGACAGGAUGUCUCUGUGUAGCCUUGGCUUUCUUGGAACUAGUUCUGUAGAUCAGACUGGCCUCGAAUACACAGAGAUCCACUUGCCUCCCAAGUGCUGGGAUUGAAGGCGGGUGCCAUAUCUGGGCUUCAUUGUGGUUUUGAUUCAGUAAAAUAGGACCUCAUAGAAAUAUCCCUUUUGUAUAUGCUUAUUUAUCAAACUACAUAUAGCCAAAACUACCGGUAGCACAUGGUCCACUUACUCCAUGGCAGGCAUUUAAGCUGUGUUAAAUUCCAUGUAUAAAAAAAGCCUCUCAAGGGUGCUGGAGAGAUGGCUCAGGGUUAAGAGUACCAGCAGCUCUUCCAGAAGAUCCAGGUUCAAAAUGUCCGGCACCUGCACGGAAGCUCACAACCAUCAGUAACUCCGAUUCCAGGCGAUCCCCCUGAUGCUUUCUGUUCAAUACAGGUACCAGGCAUCAAGUGGCACACGGAUGCGUGCACACAGAGGCAAAACUCUGUACAGAAUAAAAACGAAAGCCUUUCGAAAUGUGCGUAGUUACAUAUUUUACUGCCAACAGACAACAAAGGAAAACCCCGUUGUCUGAAAUUAUUGAGUUUUAUUCUAUGAAAGUAAAAUAUCAACUUGCAAAGACCAAGGUAUGAUCCUUAGGGAUGCUCAAGUUAUCCUUCCUUACCACACACGUGCCACUUACCACACAGGUCUUGGGGACCAGACUGCAAAGCACAAGUCACUCGCUGAAAUGUCACAUGGCAGCUGCUGUGCUCUCCUCAAAAAUGUUUCCAUUUUGUCAAAUGGCUUUACACAUCUAUUCAAAUAAUGGUUUCGAAUGUGGGCAAAUAUGUCUUCAGCUGCAAAAUUUCAGAGACGGGCUGUGUUUUUUCCUGAUAAAAGUCAAGGCCAGUGAGGAGCUCCACAUCACGGACCCGGGCGAUGUGUGCUUUAAAUCUCUCUUCAACCCAAAGGUCUUCUGCUUUGUUUUCCUGAAAAAUAAAACAUAAAACAAUUUUCCA